Molecule: ribosomal RNA, 250 nt
Filed under: uncultured bacterium
Lineage: Bacteria
Description: partial 16S ribosomal RNA
Rfam family: Bacterial small subunit ribosomal RNA
Source: RNAcentral
GACGGAGGGUGCUAGCGUUGUUCGGAAUUACUGGGCGUAAAGGGCGCGUAGGCGGCCGCUCAAGUCGGGUGUGAAAGCCCGGGGCUCAACCCCGGAACUGCACUCGAGACUGGGUGGCUGGAGAUCGGAAGAGGAGAGUGGAACACCCAGUGUAGAGGUGAAAUUCGUAGAUAUUGGGUAGAACACCGGUGGCGAAAGCGGCUCUCUGGUCCGAUUCUGACGCUGAGGCGCGAAAGCGUGGGGAGCAAAC